RNAcentral lists this ribosomal RNA (446 nucleotides) under uncultured bacterium. Its description in RNAcentral is "partial 16S ribosomal RNA". It matches the Rfam family "Bacterial small subunit ribosomal RNA", at positions 338 to 795 of the family's 1533-position model. The record is from RNAcentral.
CCUACGGGUGGCAGCAGUCGAGAAUCAUUCACAAUGGGGGAAACCCUGAUGGUGCGACGCCGCGUGGGGGAAUGAAGGUCUUCGGAUUGUAAACCCCUGUCAUGUGGGAGCAAAUUAAAAAGAUCGUACCCCACGAGGAAGAGACGGCUAACUAUGUGCCAGCAGCCGCGGUAAGACAGAGGUCUCAAGCGUUGUUCGGAAUCACUGGGCGUAAGGCGUGCGUAGGCUGUUUCGUAAGUCUUGGGUGAAAGGCGCGGGCUCAACCCGCGGACGGCAGAUGAGACUGCGAGACUAGAGUAAUGGAGGGGGAAGCGGAAUGCGCGGUGUAGCAGUGAAAUGCGUAGAUAUCGAGAGGAACACUGGUGGCGAAGGCGGGUUCCUGGACAUUAACUGACGCUGAGGCACGAAGGCCAGGGGAGCGAAAGGGAUUAGAUACCCCGGUAGUC